This 72-nucleotide transfer RNA is filed under the name Bos taurus (domestic cattle). It matches the Rfam family "tRNA". Rfam says of the family: Transfer RNA (tRNA) molecules are approximately 80 nucleotides in length. Lineage: Eukaryota; Metazoa; Chordata; Mammalia; Artiodactyla; Bovidae. RNAcentral also lists the same sequence under 2 other names. The record is from Rfam by way of RNAcentral.
UCCCUGGUAGCUCAGUCGGUAAAGCGUCUGCCUACCACGUAGGAGACCUGGGUUCGAUCCCUGGGUUGGGAC